UUGCCCUAGUAACGGCGAGUGAAGCGGCAACAGCUCAAAUUUGAAAUCUGGCUCCUUUGGGGUCCGAGUUGUAAUUUGUAGAGGGUGCUUUGGCGUUGGUUGUGGUCUAAGUUCCUUGGAACAGGACGUCACAGAGGGUGAGAAUCCCGUACGUGGCCGCCAGCCUCCGCCGUGUAAAGCCCCUUCGAUGAGUCGAGUUGUUUGGGAAUGCAGCUCUAAAUGGGAGGUAAAUUUCUUCUAAAGCUAAAUAUUUGCCAGAGACCGAUAGCGCACAAGUAGAGUGAUCGAAAGAUGAAAAGCACUUUGGAAAGAGAGUCAAAAAGCACGUGAAAUUGUUGAAAGGGAAGCGCUUGCAGCUAGACGUGCCUUGGGUUGAUCAGCCGGACUUUUGCCCGGUGCACUCUUCCUUUGGCAGGCCAGCAUCAGUUUGGGCGGCUGGAUAAAGGUCUGUUAAACGUGACUUCCUUCGGGGAGAGCUUAUAGGGCAGACGACAUGCAGCCAGCCUGAACUGAGGUCCGCGCAUCUGCUAGGAUGCUGGCGUAAUAGCUGUAAGCGGCCCGUCUUGAAACACGGACCAAGGAGUCUAACAUCUAUGCGAGUGUUUGGGUGUCAAGCCCGAGCGCGUAAUGAAAGUAAACGGAGGUGGGAACCUUUUAGGUGCACCAUCGACCGAUCCUGAUGUCUUCGGAUGGAUUUGAGUAAGAGCAUAGCUGUUGGGACCCGAAAGAUGGUGAACUAUGCCUGAAUAGGGUGAAGCCAGAGGAAACUCUGGUGGAGGCUCGCAGCGGUUCUGACGUGCAAAUCGAUCGUCAAAUUUGGGCAUAGGGGCGAAAGA
This 836-nucleotide ribosomal RNA is filed under the name Lophiostoma compressum. RNAcentral describes it as "eukaryotic LSU rRNA". It matches the Rfam family "Eukaryotic large subunit ribosomal RNA", at positions 75 to 930 of the family's 3401-position model. The record is from RNAcentral. Lineage: Eukaryota; Fungi; Ascomycota; Dothideomycetes; Pleosporales; Lophiostomataceae. RNAcentral also lists the same sequence under 1 other name.